Molecule: long non-coding RNA, 3926 nt
Organism: Chroicocephalus ridibundus (black-headed gull)
Lineage: Eukaryota; Metazoa; Chordata; Aves; Charadriiformes; Laridae
Exons: 3
Source: RefSeq, a predicted model, not a curated record
GCCGGGAGGCGGAACCCGUCCACAGCCUCCGGACCCGAGCUGAGCCGGCGCGGGAACCGAUGGCCCUGCCCCACUGUGUCGCUGAAACCGGGCCGGCAUUGAAGGGGGGCGGGAGGCGGCGCUGGGGCCCAGGCCGAGGGUCAGUGCAGGUGGCCCUCAGCGGCCACCGCCCGGCCGAGCAGCUGGAGGACGCCCCUCUCCCCGCGUCCGGAUCCUGGGGCGGGGGUGGGGGGUCGGCGCUGAAUGAGGUUUAGAGAACGAAAAAGCGGGGCAGACUGUUAUGUUUUCCUUGUGAAUUGUGAAGUUCUUUGCUUUCUUCUGCAGGAGGGGAAGCUACCAGCUUUGACGCUAAGUCUGCUCAGCACUGCCAGCCAAAUACAGCAGGAUUGCUCUUGGGUUUGGAAAUUAAUCAUACAAGUGGUUGCAGAAUUGAAAACUCUUUCAGAUCUGCUGAAUAUGAGAACUGGGAACUAUACACAUGCCUGAAUCUCAGGAAAUACCAAAACCACGAUGGAGAUUUUACUUGACGGUGGUUUGCAAUGAAGAACCCCUUGCUGACCGUCCCUGCCACCAUCUCGACAAUUAGCACAGCCUGGGGGCACAGGCAGAGGAUGGAGAAACUUCAGCGAUGUUGCGCUUCUGAUCAGAAUCUACUGCAGUCUUCAUGUCCGUUGUCAGGAAUUUUGGUUUAGAAAUGAAGGCAGAGACGUGCUGAAGCAAAAUAAUUGUGAUUGUAGGCAGUGUUCUUUGAUCCAGAGCUCUUGCAGUGGGCAGUGGAUCAGCUGCGCUCUCGGGAGAAGUCUUUUCCCGAGUAUCUGGUUCUGACUGCAGGAUGCAUAUCAUAAAACUGCUCGUCAAGAAAAGUCAGAAAUACGCACUGUGCUGCAGUCUGUUUAUUUUGCUGCGCUCUCAUCUAUUUACCAAAAAGGUUUCUCUAUCUUUUUAAUCAUUUCCUUUUUAUCUCCUCUUCAGCUUGUACGAAAAUUAUGGAAAUAUUUCCAGACACCUAGUAGCCUACAGACAAUCUGCUAAUUACAAAGCAACACCAGAGAGGAGAAGGGUGUUCCCCUGUAUAAAAAUAAUUCUGUUUGGCUGCUGCAGCAGAGAGGAGAAGCCACUGGAUGCUUCCCCCAGGCUCUGGAGAAUCUUAAAUCUGGCGAUUUAAGAUAAUCGUUCCAGAUGGCGGCCCUGGGGCUGCCGAGUGAUACCAUUACCACGGGAGAGUUUCCAUUGACCGGAUGGAUGUUUGAUCCGUUGUGUUAGGGGUGGCCUCUGUCUGUGUGGAAAGCAUUGCAGUCACGUCUAUAAAAUGCAGAAAAUAAUUAUAAAAAUAGAUACGCUCACUAUACUCACAUAAGGCUCUGGGGAGAUGUUAUAGCCCCUCCCAGUACCUGAAGGGGGCCUACAGGAAGGAUGGGGAGGGACUCUUUAUCAGGGAGUGUAAUGAUAGGAUGAGGGGUAACGGUUUUAAACUGAAAGAGGGCAGAUUUAGAUUGGAUAUCAGGAAGACAUUCUUUACUGUGAGGGUGUUGAGGCACUGGAACAGGUUGCCCAGGGGAGUUGUGGAUGCCCCAUUCCUGGAAGUGUUCAAGGCCAGGCUGGAUGGGGCUUUGAGCAGCCUGGUCUAGUGGGAGGUGUCCCUGCCCAUGGCAGGGGGGUUGGAACUGGGUGAUCUUUAAGGACCCUUCCAACCCGAACCAUUCUGUGAUUCUAUGAUAAGUAGGAUGGAGGCCAGCGCGCUAUGUAGGUGUUCUUCUUCUGUUGCACUGCCACGGCGACACUGCCAGCACGACCAUCCUCAUUUGUAGCUACCUCAGAGCAGCCUAGAAAAGACUCAGCGUGGCCAGGUACUUUCAAGAGCCUCCAGCACAACUGUUCACAAAAAUCACUGAAGCGUGAGGACUCUGUUGUUUUACAGGCAGUUCUUUUGAUAAACCACAAGGAUUAAAGAUUUCUUAUGGAAGAGAUCCUGAUGAAGAACUCUUUGGUACAGAGGCGUUGAUUUACUUUAUAUGUUGCACUCAUCUCUGUUGCUUUAUGAAGAUCAUAGACCUCUUCUUUCAUUUAGAGGGCUUUGCCCUUGCUGUGAAUAUUUGUAUGGCUUCGUGCGUGGCUGUGUUUAUAAGCAGCAGUCUGAAAGAAAUAUUGUUACUCGGGUUGAGUCAAAACAGAUAGACAGAAUGAAGGUACUUCUUAGGGAAUUUGGAAGAUGGCCAAAGAAAUCUAAUCAUAAAGAGCCAAACGCUUUCCUUUGUAGUAAAAUGACUACACCGAUCACCUCCACAUGUGAAUACGUGUUCCCGGUAAAGCUGGGCUAUACCAUAGUAUGUAUCCAUGUCCUGGGUCAUGUGCAAGCUGGUACAUCCAUAUCCAAGGAUGCAUAUAUGUGGGAAUUUCAUAGUUAAUACUGGUAUUUUGGAAGCAUUUCUAAAAGUCGUCUUCAGUAUUUCACAAAUGGGAGCCCCUUUCUGGAACCUGCUCCCAGGCCACGGUGGAUGAGCUUGUCCUCCUCCUCACGCUGGUGUGUGGAUGUGCUCUUGGCCAGCCGCUGGCUGGAGCAUAGGAAAUUCCAGGUCGGCUGUUCCAGCUGGGAGCCAAGCCCUGGAGCUGCUGAAUGGAUCAUGAAGUGGGAGCUGAAACUUGUUCAGCCAGUCUGAGACCUUAUUUCCCUUUGGCAGCACGGUCAUCAGGAGAUUCCUCUGGCUGUUUAUUUCUAGGGGCCCUACUUCCCUGCUCCAGUCCUAACUAACAAAACUACGUCAUGACCUAAGAAGAUGUGAUAAGCAAUUUAAUUAUGAAAUUAGCAGUUAACAUGUACUCAGUAUUGACAAAAUCUUUACCAGAUGGCUGUGCUCCUGACCAGCUCAGCCGCACUUUGGUAUGGUGGGCUUGAAUGUCUUAUUUUGUUGGAGGCAAGACCAUAGAAAGCCAGGACCAGCAUUACCAAAAGUUACAGUAGGGUUUCAAAAAACUUGACACUUCAUGGAUUUUUUCCCUCCUUCAGGACAUUUGGAGCCUUCCUUUGUGAACGUGUUCCUCAGUGUUACGAACACAUCUACUGUUGUCAAGACAUUUUCCAAUAUUUGGACACAUACAUUGUAGUUUACUAGAUAAUGACUAGGUGAGGACUCACGUCAAAAAAUAGUAUGGCUAUUCUAUUAUUUUCUUAUUAAAAAAAAGUCCUAAUAAUGUGGAAGGAUCACCUCUAGAUUGUUUGCUUUCUCGGGGUUUUCUGUGUCUUUCACUAAGAAGUUAAAUCCAUUGCUGGGAACUAAAUUACUUUUGUUUUCUUUCCCUUCAAGGCAACCCACAUCUAUCAAAGGUUUUAAUUCUCAGUCACUUGUUAGUGACUUCUGCAGUAUUUGGUUUAUUUUUUAAACAAAGGACUCUGCUUUCUUUUAGAAUGUAUUUGAAAUUCUCUACCACCUCCUUAUUAGUAUCCUGCAGCUACUUUCUCAUUACAUUCAUCUUUUCUAUUCGUGCAGCAAAGGCUUUUCCAUACUCCUGCCCUUGUCUUAGCUGUGAUUCAUCAUUUUUACAUACAUUCACAGUUCUGCACAAUUUCUUCCUCUUUGCCAUCGGUUCUAUUGCUUUUGUGCAGAGUCACAUUGGAUCACCUGAUGUGUUUGUUCUGGAAUGGAGUAUGGAAAUGUAAAUCUUAAAUGUGGUUUGUUUCCUUUUCUUUUUAACUGCACAUUUGUUCACAGAAGUUUUGGGGAAGAUUUUUAUCGGUUAAAUAAAUUAAGUUGGUAUAUCUGUCUAGGCUUUUUGUGUCACGGAAAGAAUAUCUUGUCUGUCAAAUGGUAAUAAUGUUGUCAAAUGCUACUGGGAAAAUGGGGACAUUAUAAUCCAUCACAAUAUUAAGGGAGCAAUUUAUGCCGUAAAAAUGAGCUUUCUAAGUGACAAUCUCAGGCUGAGCAUGAUGU